RNAcentral lists this ribosomal RNA (424 nucleotides) under uncultured bacterium. RNAcentral describes it as "bacterial SSU rRNA". It matches the Rfam family "Bacterial small subunit ribosomal RNA", at positions 355 to 796 of the family's 1533-position model. The record is from RNAcentral.
UUAGGAAUCUUGGACAAUGGACGAAAGUCUGAUCCAGCCAUGCCGCGUGAGUGAUGAAGGCCUUCGGGUUGUAAAGCUCUUUAGUCCACGAAUAUAAUGACUGUAGUGGAAGAAUAAGCCCCGGCUAACUUCGUGCCAGCAGCCGCGGUAAUACGAAGGGGGCGAGCGUUGUUCGGAAUCACUGGGCGUAAAGAGUGCGUAGGCGGCGAUAAAAGUUAGAAGUGAAAGCCCAGGGCUCAACCCUGGAAUUGCUUUUAAAACUAGAUUGCUAGAAUUCGGGAGAGGAUAGCGGAAUUGUCAGUGUAGCAGUGAAAUGCGUAGAUAUUGACAGGAACACCAGUGGCGUAAGCGGCUAUCUGGACCGACAUUGACGCUGAGGCACGAAAGCGUGGGGAUCAAACAGGAUUAGAUACCCGUGUAGUCC